RNAcentral lists this unclassified non-coding RNA (345 nucleotides) under soil metagenome. RNAcentral's name for it is "partial contains 5.8S ribosomal RNA, internal transcribed spacer 2, and large subunit ribosomal RNA". The stretch from base 1 to 120 matches the Rfam family "5.8S ribosomal RNA", at positions 35 to 154 of the family's 154-position model. The record is from RNAcentral.
GAUGAAGAACGUAGCGAAAUGCGAUACGUAAUGUGAAUUGCAGAAUUCAGUGAAUCAUCGAGUCUUUGAACGCACAUUGCGUCCCCUGGUAUUCCGGGGGGCAUGCCUGUCCGAGCGUCAUUGCUGCCCUCAAGCACGGCUUGUGUGUUGGGCCUCCGUCCUCCUCCCGGGGGACGGGCCCGAAAGGCAGCGGCGGCACCGCGUCCGGUCCUCGAGCGUAUGGGGCUUCGUCACCCGCUCUUGUAGGCCCGGCCGGCGCUUGCCGACACAUCAAUCUUUUUUCCAGGUUGACCUCGGAUCAGGUAGGGAUACCCGCUGAACUUAAGCAUAUCAAUAAGCGGAGGA